This 73-nucleotide transfer RNA is filed under the name Agrilus planipennis (emerald ash borer). It matches the Rfam family "tRNA". From Rfam's summary of the family: Transfer RNA (tRNA) molecules are approximately 80 nucleotides in length. Their secondary structure includes four short double-helical elements and three loops (D, anti-codon, and T loops). Lineage: Eukaryota; Metazoa; Arthropoda; Insecta; Coleoptera; Buprestidae. The record is from Rfam by way of RNAcentral.
UCUUUCGUAGUUUAGCGUUCAGAGCAUUGGUGUGUAAAGCUGAAGGCCCCGGGUUCGAUUCCUGGCGAGGGUG